Molecule: ribosomal RNA, 450 nt
Filed under: uncultured bacterium
Lineage: Bacteria
Description: partial 16S ribosomal RNA
Rfam family: Bacterial small subunit ribosomal RNA
Source: RNAcentral
GUGGGGAAUAUUGGACAAUGGGCGAAAGCCUGAUCCAGCCAUGCCGCGUGUGUGAAGAAGGUCUUCGGAUUGUAAAGCACUUUAAGUUGGGAGGAAGGGCAGUAAGUUAAUACCUUGCUGUUUUGACGUUACCGACAGAAUAAGCACCGGCUAACUUCGUGCCAGCAGCCGCGGUAAUACGAAGGGUGCAAGCGUUAAUCGGAAUUACUGGGCGUAAAGCGCGCGUAGGUGGUUUUGUAAGUUGGAGGUGAAAUCCCCGGGCUCAACCUGGGAACUGCCUCCAAAACUGCAUGACUAGAGUACGGUAGAGGGUAGUGGAAUUUCCUGUGUAGCGGUGAAAUGCGUAGAUAUAGGAAGGAACACCAAUGGCGAAGGCGACUACCUGGACUGAUACUGACACUGAGGUGCGAAAGCGUGGGGAGCAAACAGGAUUAGAUACCCGGGUAGUCC